Molecule: small nucleolar RNA, 101 nt
Organism: Lolium rigidum
Lineage: Eukaryota; Viridiplantae; Streptophyta; Magnoliopsida; Poales; Poaceae
Product: small nucleolar RNA snoR26
Exons: 1
Source: RefSeq, a predicted model, not a curated record
UAAGCAUCUGUGAUGUGCAUCCUCUAUAUUUUCAACCUUGCACUUCUGACUUUAGCACUUGUUGGUAAAGACAACAUUGGGGAAUAUAUUCCGAGAUGCUU